GCCCUCUUGGCGGAAUAGGCAGACGCAUCAGACUCAAAAUCUGACGAGGAAACUCGUACCGGUUCGACCCCGGUAGAGGGCACCA
RNAcentral lists this transfer RNA (85 nucleotides) under Mesoplasma lactucae ATCC 49193. RNAcentral's name for it is "tRNA-Leu". It matches the Rfam family "tRNA". From Rfam's summary of the family: Transfer RNA (tRNA) molecules are approximately 80 nucleotides in length. Their secondary structure includes four short double-helical elements and three loops (D, anti-codon, and T loops). The record is from RNAcentral. Lineage: Bacteria; Bacillati; Mycoplasmatota; Mollicutes; Entomoplasmatales; Entomoplasmataceae.